This 274-nucleotide unclassified non-coding RNA is filed under the name Hevea brasiliensis (rubber tree). The record is from RNAcentral. Lineage: Eukaryota; Viridiplantae; Streptophyta; Magnoliopsida; Malpighiales; Euphorbiaceae.
GUUUCAUCCUUAAUAUUACAUGCAAAUGUCUUCAGUUGCCCAUGUACACAAAGCAUAUUUAGAAAAGCUUCUGGCUUCAUGAUAUACACGGCAUGAAAUAUUCUGCACGCUUUUCUUUUUUGUGGGAGGGUGUGUUAUGUGAUGGAGCUGGGGGGAAUUAGUCUUUUUAAGAUAACUGUUUUCCAAAUGCAAAGUUCAUAAAUUUGGCUGCUGCUUCUAUGGCUAGUUGACUUGGUCCUUCGUAGUUUGUUACCUGAUGCUCUUGUGAUUUAUG